RNAcentral lists this small RNA (74 nucleotides) under Arabidopsis thaliana (thale cress). RNAcentral's name for it is "ATSL053800". The record is from RNAcentral. Lineage: Eukaryota; Viridiplantae; Streptophyta; Magnoliopsida; Brassicales; Brassicaceae.
UUCUUCAUCUUCCUUAUCUGUUUCUCCCGCUCUCUCUCUCUCUCUCUCUCUCUCUCUCUCUCUUCGUGUCUGCG